Molecule: ribosomal RNA, 1119 nt
Filed under: uncultured Blattabacterium sp.
Lineage: Bacteria; Pseudomonadati; Bacteroidota; Flavobacteriia; Flavobacteriales; Blattabacteriaceae
Description: bacterial LSU rRNA
Rfam family: Bacterial large subunit ribosomal RNA
Source: RNAcentral
CGUGAGGGAAAGGUGAAAAGUACUUCGAAUAGAAGGGUGAAAUAGAUCCUGAAACCAUACGCUUACAAACUGUCGGAGCUUCUUUUUGAAGUGACGACGUGCCUUUUGCAUAAUGAACCUACGAGUUAAUUUUUCCGGCAAGGUUAAAUAGUUCAGCUAUGGAGCCAUAGCGAAAGCAAGUCUGAAUAGGGCGUGUAGUCGGAAGAAUUAGACGCGAAACCGAGUGAUCUAUCCAUGAGCAGGUUGAAGCUGUGGUAACACAUAGUGGAGGACCGAACCGGUUGACGUUGAAAAGUCUUCGGAUGACUUGUGGAUAGGGGUGAAAGGCCAAUCAAACUCGGAGAUAGCUCGUACUCCCCGAAAUGCAUUUAGGUGCAGCAUCGUGUUAAAUAAUACAGAGGUAGAGCUACUGAUUGGAUGAAGGGGUUUCAUCACCUACUAAUUCCUGACAAACUCCGAAUGCUGUUAUUAUGUUUCACGGUAGUGAGGGCAUGGGUGCUAAGGUCCAUGUCCAAGAGGGAAACAACCCAGACCAUCAGUUAAGGCCCCUAAGUAUAUAUUAAGUUGAACAAACGAGGUUCAGUUACUGAGACAGCUACGAAUGGUGUAACGAUCUGGAAACUGUCUCAGCCGUGAGCUCGGUGAAAUUGUAAUAUCGGUGAAGAUGCCGAUUACUCGCAAUGGGACGAAAAGACCCUGUGAACCUUUACUAUAGCUUCGUAUUGGUUUUGAUUAAAAAAUGUGUAGGAUAGGUGGGAAACCUUGAAACGUUGUCGCCAGGCAAUGUGGAGUUGCCCUUGAAAUACCACCCUUUUUUUAGUUGAAGUCUAACUCAAUCUAAAAAAAUUGAGGACAUUGCGUGGUGGGUAGUUUGACUGGGGUGGUCGCCUCCAAAAAGGUAACGGAGGCUCCCAAAGGUACCCUCAACACGUUUGGUAAUCGUGUGUAGAGUGUAAUGGCAUAAGGGUGCUUGACUGUGAGACUUACAAGUCGAUCAGGUACGAAAGUAGGGCAUAGUGAUCCGGUGGUUCCGUAUGGAAGGGCCAUCGCUCAAAGGAUAAAAGGUACUCCGGGGAUAACAGGCUAGUCUCCCCCAAGAGCUCACAUCGACGGGGAGGU